UUUUUUUUUUUUUUUUUUUUUUUUUAACAUUUGAGAGAAUUCAUGCACCAUGACACCAUUUAUGAAAGAAAAUGCACAAAUAAUAUUAUAGAUACUACUAUCUGUAGUUAUAUACAUAAUGAUGGAUAUAUAGAAAAAGAAACAGAACAGGAGCUGACCUAUUAUAACCCCAGGGCCAAAUACAGCCAUUGCCUGGUUUUUAUUUUUUAUUUAUUUAUUUUUAAAUUACAGCACAUGGAAGUUCCUGGGCCAGGGACUGAAACCAAGCCACAGCUGCAACCUACACUGCAGCUGCAGUAAUGCCAGAUCCUUUAAUCCACCGUGCUGGGCCAGGGAUCGAACCUGCACCGCUGCAGCAACCCAAGCUGCUGUGGUUGGAUUCUUAAUCCACUGUGCUAUAGGGGGAACUCCUUGUCUAACUCUUUUUUUUUUUUUUUUUAAUCAUGCUUUUAUCUCAAGAGAAGUUUCCAGAGAGUUUGGGAUAGAAAAACAUGGCCUUUUCAGCCUCUAUAGUGAGAAACAGCAACAUAGGAGAAGGUUGAAAAUAACUUGUAGAGUUGGAAAUUUGUUUGCUAUGCCUUGGCAGCAAACAACUUAGAAGAGGUUUGUUUGUUUUUUGUCUUGUUUUUUGUUUUGUUUUGUUUUUUGCUUUUUAGGGCCACAUCCUCAGCAUACAGAAGUUCCAAGCCUAGUGGUUGGAUCAGAGCUGCAGCUGCUGGCCUACACCACAGCCACAGCUAUGCAAGAUCUGAGCUGCAUCUGUGACCUCACCACAGUUCACGGCAACGCCGGAUCCUUAACCUACUGAGCGAGGCCAGCGGUGACAGCUCUGAUUAGACCCCUAGCCUGGGAACCUCCAUAUGCUGUGGGAGCAGCCCUAAAAAGACGAAAAAAAAAAAAAAGAUUAAAAAGGACAUAUCUCUCUAUUCUAAAACACGCGUUCACACUGAGAUUCAUGCUUGGUUUGGUGUUUGGAAACGCACAGUGCUAACUAUAAAUAUGUCUUAGGUCAGCCCUUGCCUUUCAGGAUACGCCCUUUUGUACAUCUUGAAUUUGGUACCAAGAGCUGGUAUGAAUGACUUAUGAGAAAAUCAAGAGGGAACAUCAAGAGAGAAGCAUCACCACCUCCCUUAUUACAGAGAAUAAGGGAAGUAAAUCAGUUCCCAUGCGUUGAUUUUAAGAGCACACCUCGGGAACAAAGGAAAAAUUCUGGAUGACACAUUAGAUCACAGACUAACAAUCAGAUUAUAUAGUACAAUCUUCGGAAACACAUAUGUGCUUUUGUUUUGUUUGAUGCAUCGUCAUGGCUCCCUACGUGUUAUCUGGGCAGCUGAAUCGUUAAAACACAAGGCAGCGAUCUCUUAAGAGAAUGUAUGGAGAGGUGCAGCAUAUUAAAAUCACUCAUCUUACUGGUAAUCAGAGAAAUUCACAUUAAACAGCAAUGAUAUAGUUCCUAGUCGCAAAAUGUUAAAGAAAUUAUACUAUCCAUGACUGGGGAUGUAGAGAAACUAGCAACUUAGAGUCUUUGCUAGUGGCUUUAUAAGUUGGUUUGACCCCUUUGCAAAGCAAGGGGUAAAUACAUAUCAAGAGCUACACGAAAUAUUCCCUUUCCCUGAUCCUGUCAUUGCAUUUCUAGGAAUCUGGCCUAAAGAAAAAAUCUUAAAUAUAGAAAAAGAUGCUCACUGAGGAGUUCCCAUUAGAGCUCAGCAGUAACAAACCCAACUCGUAUCUCUGAGGACGUGGGUUUGAUCCUGGCCUCGCUUGGUGGCUUAAGGAUCCAGCAUUGCCAUGGGCUGUGGUGAAGGUCAAGGCUGCAGCUCAGAUCCUGCGUUACUGUGGCUGUGGUGUAGGCCAGCAGCUGUAGCUCCGAUUAGACCCCAAGCCAAGGAAUUUCCAUAUGCCACAGGUGCAGCCCUAAAAAGACAAAACAACAAAACAAAACAAAAAGAUGCUCAAUAGAAACCUAAUUUAGAAUAAAACAGAUAAAAUUUAAUUCUCCCUAACAGAAUAACAAUUCAAAUUUUGUAGUUUUGCGCGCACACACACACACACACACACUCUCUCUCUCUCUAGCAGCUAUUUAAAAUUACAGUUAUAGAAACUAGAUCACUAGGUACCUACAAGACAAUGUUUCAUUUUUUAAAAAAAUCAAAACUUCAUGCUCAUUAUGAUCAAAGGCACAUAAAUUAAAGUAUACAUGAGAAGGACACACCACGAAUUUAAUGCUGACUGUAUUAUGUGGAGUAUUUUUAUUUUCUUCAUAACUUUCCAUUAGGGGUUUAAUAAUAGUAUUGUUACUUUUUUAAUGAAAAAUGUAUUUCUAAUAAAAAUACACAGCAAACCAUUUUGAAUCUCUUGGAAAAGAAGCUCUUCCAACAUAGUUUAGGAGUUUAUGAUUACAACAAAAGAGUCUUGGAAUUUUGACUGUGUGUUGGUUAGUCAAAAGACCUCAUUGGUUGAGAGGGGUAAUACUAACAUGAAUUACGGAUUAUCAAGGCAUCACGAGUCGGUGCAAUCCACCCAACUGAUGGACUCCAGGAGGACAGCUCACCGAAAUCUUCAUCCGCAUCGUCUGCCUCUUUUCAGUGUCCGCUGAGUCUCCUAAACCCAGCAGAUCCAUGGUGAGUCUCAAAGAAUAGAGUCUAAUAGGGUCUAAUAUUCUACUCAUGUUGGGGGUAGGCAGUGGGAAGGGGCAAGACUCCACUUCUCAGCAGAAUCCUUUCAGUCCCAUAAAGACAAGGGAUGAAACUGUCAUGAAUUUGCACCAGUUAAUCAGCACUUCAAGAAAGUGAACUAAAUGUAUGUAUUACAUGUAUGUACUGUGUGUUGUGUGUGUAGACAUAUAUACAAGUAGAUGAUAGCUAUAUAAACGCAUUUAUAUAUGCAGAGACAUAUAGACAGAAAUAUUGACAGGUACAUAUAGAGAUAGAUGAUUGAUACAAACAUAUGCAUAUAAUUGGAUGUUCAUGAUACACUCAGGUUUUCUGCUAAGAGCUUUCCACGCAUUACCUCGAUCCUUUACGAGAAUUAACCUAUUGCCAUUUUACAGAUAAAAGACAUGAGAGGUCAAGACAUUGUCCAAGGUCAUUGCACAAGUAAGAGAACAUCACUUGACCAACAGAGCAGAGAGCCCAGAUAUGAUCAAGGCACAUCUUCUAGCGGAAAUGCAGCAGCGGCCGCCGCUGGACAUGCUAAAAUCAUCAACCACAAAGGGCGAAUUUUGCUCUCCAUGUUGGUGUUGAUAUCACCCCCUCCUGGGGACUCAGCAGCUCUGCAUCAAUGUGUCCCUGUUUCACAGAUGGGGUCCCUGAGUCCUGCGGCAGCUCCUAGUAGGCCUCAAUGCUGACAUACAUACCACUGAUCUUUAUGCUUCCACGUUGAAAACCACAGUUAACACCCCAUGCGUGCUUGCCUGCCGCACUUGAGAAGAAUACAUGUAAUUAGGAUUUCUUCUCUUUUUCUUUUUUGCUUCCACUAAUUCCAUUUGGGACUUCCUAAUACGUUUAAUGGAGAUUCCGGCUUUGGUGUUAGCUGAAGAAGGAUAUUGGGAACAUGUGGAAGUUUCAAGGGAUGGCCUUGUUUAAUUCUAGCACCAGAAAUUUUCCGUUUGGAACCAUGCUACCCUGCCUGGUGUGAACCAGAUGUGGCAAAAACAGGUCUUGUCUCUUAUUAAAAACAAGCCAAGACAGUCGUAUUCACACAUUUAUCUCAAUGAAUGCCUCUAGAAUUCAGCUGGCAUGCCAAAGAGGAGGCCUGGAGGGGCACUGCUUAAUAUUAUUCUACUGAAAAUGCUUGCGGGUUCAACAGAUAAACUGAUAAAAACAACAUAUUGGAUCCAUGCUACUCAUGCAAACAGGAAGAACAUUAUUAGGGACAAAAUUCCUUGCAGCACGAAUUGUACAACUUUUUGCUCACGCCCGUGUGCAUUCACGCAGGUGGGUCAGCUGCCUGUACAACAAACACUUCACGCUCUGAAAGGGCCAAGCGGGUUCCUGAGCCACUGCUAACGCACAUGCCCACAUCCCACACCUAGACACCGCUAAGGCGCAUGCCACGUCCACACCCAGACACCGCUAAGGCGCAUGCCCACAUCCACACCCAGACACCGCUAAGGCGCAUGCCACGUCCACACCCAGACACCGCUGACGCGCAUGCCCACAUCCACACUCAGACACUGCUAAUGCGCAUGCCCACAUCCACACCCAGGUGGUACCCAUCUGCUUUGCAGGGGUGGGGGGCGGAGGGAGGGGGAGGGGAGUCACGGCAAAUCAGGUCCUCCCUCUGCCCCUUAUUUCGCCGCUAUCGCCCCCUUAACAAGAACUCCAUCCUAGAUGCCUCUGUUAACAUUUAAAUGAUUUACUAUCACAUUCCCUCAGUUCUAAGAGAGCAGGGAGACUGCAGGCAUCAGCGACUGUAGCAGCUGCCUCCAUUUCUGCAAAGUUCCGAAUAGGGGAACUGCAGGCAUAUUCAAAGAAAGGAAAUACGGUAGCCGGUUCAGACCUCUCUGGCAGCAUUUUUGUUCUCCGACAUACCUCUGAAAGUGGGACAUUCAAUAAAACAACACUUGUUUCUAGAUUCAAACGAAUUCUAUAAAAAAAAAAAAAAAAAAGAAUCCCCCAAAUGAAUAGAGAGAACGCUAGCCUCAUAACACAGAGGUGAAAAUGACUGAAGCAGAGACGGUUCCGCCAACCCAUUAAUCCAGCAAAGCUUUGUGUGAAGACGUGGAUAUGUCAGAGCAGGUUACCUCAAGAGGGCUUUCUUUUGAACUUGAACUGCCAAAAUUCCAGGCAGACACCAAAGAGCUUCAGUUUAAGUGGGCAAAGGUGAACCGUCAGAAGGAAAGUAGAAAGAACAGAAGACCAGGCUGGUUAUCAAAGAAGAGUUUCCAAGGGAAGAAAAAAAAAUAAAGUGAAACGGGGAAAGUUUUCAGAAAGUCAACAUUCAAGGAAAGCUGCAUUUAAAAAUAUAAAUCACUCACAGGCCUGUAUGUAGGAGAAAGAGCGAACGUUUCUGCUUGCAAGCACCCUAGGACGCCUUCAGGAGAUAAAGAAGCACAAACAGGACCUGGAUCAGAGAUUAUACACAGGAGUGAGUAGCUGGCUAAGCGGGAAGAGGACAAAAUAUAAGCCAAGGUUAGAAGAGUCCAGUUACCAUUUGAAUAUAUUGGAUACUUGUUUUCUGCUCACUCCAGAGUUGGAAACUAUAGUUCAUCAACAUCUCUAACAGAGGCUUAGCAGGAACAAAGACAAAGCCACACAACAGGUAGUGGUCCUGACUACGGCGGCCUCUGGGAUGAAAAGAUGGUGCUGAUGCGGUUGGAGAAGAUGGAAGCCAGCAAUUAGAAUCUGUUCUUCCAACAAGUGUGAUCACUUGUGACUAUCUCCUUUCAGGGACCCACAGAGGUGAUACACACACGGAAGGUAUCA
Molecule: long non-coding RNA, 5426 nt
Filed under: Sus scrofa (pig)
Lineage: Eukaryota; Metazoa; Chordata; Mammalia; Artiodactyla; Suidae
Description: lncRNA (ENSSSCG00015058350.1)
Source: RNAcentral